AUUCCAUGAUGGAGACAUUCUAGGAUGUAGUCAUGGAAGCGCUCCCAUGCUUUUGGAAUGAAUUCUUUAUGUUGUUGUUGAAAACAUGUAAUCUUCCCAUGGAGACA
Molecule: small nucleolar RNA, 107 nt
Filed under: Sorghum bicolor (sorghum)
Lineage: Eukaryota; Viridiplantae; Streptophyta; Magnoliopsida; Poales; Poaceae
Description: Plant small nucleolar RNA R71
Rfam family: Plant small nucleolar RNA R71
About the family: R71 is a member of the C/D box family of snoRNAs containing the C (UGAUGA) and D (CUGA) box motifs. Multiple nearly identical copies of this snoRNA have been identified in Arabidopsis, and it is thought to function as a 2'-O-ribose methylation guide for 18S ribosomal RNA.
Source: Rfam by way of RNAcentral